AAAAAAAAAAAGGCAAAGGGGUGCCCUUUAUUUUGUGGCUCUGAACCUUUUAAAUAUAUUUUAACCCAUUUUUAAAACCCAAAGUUGUUAUGUGUGCCUUUUUUGGUAUAGCAUCUCAACAGUACGUUAACUUGUGUUGUUGUUUCACAUGAGCUCUGACAUUACCCCCCUUUAUAAGUGACCCUUUUUUUUUUAAUUAAUUACUCUUUAUAAAAAUGUUCUUAAGAAUGUAAAAAAAAAACCCCUUAUAAAA
This 253-nucleotide unclassified non-coding RNA is filed under the name Cronartium flaccidum. RNAcentral's name for it is "ITS1 region". The record is from RNAcentral. Lineage: Eukaryota; Fungi; Basidiomycota; Pucciniomycetes; Pucciniales; Coleosporiaceae.